GCGCAAGUGGAGGGGACGGGGGGGGGGCACCCUGGGUCUGUUCUACAGGGUCCCUUCCCAUUCGGUGUCAUUGUGCUCUGACAAUCUAUUUAUCAAGAAGGUUCUGCGAUGUCUCAUUAGUCUCCUCCCUCUUCUGCCUGGAUUCAGAAAGAUAAAGCCCUUCUGCUUGGGAGCAGCAAACAAGGUGCCAGCAGGCCCUGUGGCCCACCUGGAUUUGGUUAUACACUUUUUAAAAGGAAUAGUAUUAUCCAAGUGCUGUAAUCCCAGUGGAUCCGGAGGCUGAGGCAGGAGGAUCGUGAGUUCAAAGCCAGCCUCAGCAACAGCGAGGCGCUAAGCAACUCAGUGAGACCCUGUCUCUACAUAAAAUACAACAGGGCUGGGGAUGUGGCUCGGUGGUACAUCAGUGACCCAUCCCCAGCCCUGGAAAAAAUAAUAGUUAAGUGUUAAGUAUUCUCCCUUCCUUCCUUCCUUCCUUUCUUCCUUUUCUUUCUUUCAAAUUUCUGAAACCCAAGGACCAGCCAAUAUUUAUAGGUUCAAAACCAAUCUUGACCUGGCUCAGGGGAGGAGCAACAGGCUACAGGGCUUAGCAGCAGGAGGCAAAAAAGGGCAGUGUCCCAGGGCCCCGGGCCACAGCGCACCUGGGGAUGAGACCCGGCUCUGCUGGGCAGCUGGCCACCACCUGGCUAGGCAGGGGCAGCCCAGGAUGGAGACCGGCCUGUAGCUGAGGCCUGGGGAGAAGCAGAGGGAGGAGUGGGUCUUGGAGUGAAGCUUCCUCUCAACCCCGCUUAAGUGCCUGGAGUUACCCUGGGAGAUUGCCUUCCCGGACAUUGGGGUCCUUCUCUCUAAGCGCUGAGAAGGAGUCGAUUAUUAGCAGCAUGGAGUGCUCGCUCUCUCUGUGGUGCAGUGUUCUCCCUGGCUUGUUCUCUCUCUCUCUCUCUCUCUCUCUCUCUCUCUCUCUCUCACACACACACACACACACACCUCCACCAGAAGCCACUUCACUGAAGAUCCCACCCAACAGCCCGUGGAUGCACUCAUCCACUCAGUGGCCGUGGGGGAUCCCGAGGUCUCCCCACCAUGCACCAGCACAGCAGGAGGUCAGGCAACAGGGCAGGAGGAAGGGGCUGGAUUUCAGGAGCAGGGCUGCUCCCACAGAGGGCAUCCUGGGGAGGGGCUCUGCAGUCCUUGAGGCUAGGGGCCAUGACAGCCACUGGCCCAGAGGCUGCUGGGAUCCAGGCUCAGCAGAGCCGCUGUCUGAUCCAGGGGACACGUGGGCAGGCCUGGAAGCACCUGGACAUCACUGAAGGCAGGGUGGCUUCAGGUUGUCAGAGACACAGAGAUCAAAAGAGAAGUGGAGAGAGACACAUGGGGCCAGGCCAGGGGUCUGCUCAGACUCUAAGGGCCCCUCAGGCCUCCUGCUGCCCAACACCAGCAGGCUGUGCCUCUGCCCUGGGGCCCAGAGGGCACUUCUCCAUGCAGGUCUGUCCUCCGGGGCUGUGGGAGUGGCGGAAUCAGCUCCUCUUAGGCAAAGGUGAGCCCCAGGGAGAAGGAGCAGCCAGAGCGUCCCAGCAUGGGCAGCAGGAAGUCUUAGCGUGAGGCGUGCCAGGACUGUGUGGAGACAGGGCCAGGGCCAGCCCUGCUGUGGAUGGCACCAGGGGGAGAAAUCUGGGUUUCAUUCAAAGCCUGACUCACAAAACUGAGCCUCACCACCUCCAGCUGCAGAAGCCUGACCUGUGGGCCACUGUGUUUUGGAGUCACCUCUUUGUCCCAACAGGCCUGGUUCCCCAGGGUCUGCCCCAGCCAGCCUCUGGGGGGACAGCAAGGCAGGCCCAGUUCUGGAGGUGAGGGAAGACCCUCACCCCCAGCAGCCGGGGAUGGAACGGCACCUACUAUAGCAAUUAAAGAGCCCUCCUGCAGCGACUGGGUCAGUUCUUGUGGUGAGGAUCGUGACCAGUGUCGUAAUCAGAGCUUAACAGCUACCACAGGUCCGGAAGGCCCAACCAGGUCUGACCCAGCUCCUGCACCUCCCUGCCACAGCCCCCCCGCCCCCUUCACGCUCCCCGGCCUUCUCCAGCUCUGGCCUCCUGUCCACAGGCGUUCUGGGGUAAGUUCCGUCAUCUUUCACCCUGUCUUGAUGUCUGCUUUCAGUAGAUGCAGACUGUCUCAUGGGACAUGCAUGGCCAUUGUUGGCAAGAUGACUGACAGAAGCCUCACCAGGGCCUGACAAAGGAGAGGAGGGCAUUGCAGAGGGGGAGACUGAGGCUUGCAGGGAGCGGGCAGGUUUGGCAGCAGAGAUCCCACCUCUGCCCACGGGGUGCCAUCCCCAUCUGCUGAUGGGCUGGACUCUGACCUGCAGGUCAUUAUCAAGACUUUAAUUGGCAGGCUUCAAAGCCUGAGACACUCCUAACCAGAGCUGGUAGUUUAGUUAUUACAGAUCACGUGCUGGAACUUCGUCAUUCAUUAAAAGGAACCAAUGCAUACUAUGGUAAGAGGUCACUGAAAUAGCUGCAGAGUGCAGAAAGGGAGCACCCCCCAGGGCACAGUCAUGGCUGCCACCCCCUUGGAACCAGGGAUGCUGCCUGCACGCUGUGCUCCUGGAGAGGGUGCUGCACAGCAAGCCUGGAGCAGCCAGGGGAUGAUUUCAACCUACUAGGGCAGCUUGCCAUUUAGCAGCCCCCGUGGGCUCGGGAGCAUGGGUGAGCCUGGGGGUUCCAGAGAGGUCUCGGGGUGGGGGAGGAUGUGUGCAGGGGACUUGGGCCUGAGUAAGGGACAGACAGCAGCACUAGCGGAGGAAGGCUCAGUCAGAAUAGCCAUGGGAGCCUUGUCUCAGGAAAAGAGGAGAGAAGAGACCACCUGUUACAAAAAAAGGAUCAUUCAUAGUGCUCACUAAAACACAGUGCGGAAGGCUCCAUUCAGGAGCAAAGACAGGACAGGACCACUGCAGCGGGGCCUUGUAGUGGGAAAGGACGGUCCCAAGUCCCAGCACAGCAUGGGCAAAUGGGGGCUUACCGCCGAGGAACAGGGUGGGGUCGGCCCGUGGGAACCCACCAAGAGGGGCCUCAGGGUUCUGGUUGAACUACCCGAGGACCCAGGCGGCACAGGGCUUCCUACGCACACGCCCACCCCGGGCCCAGAAGCAGGGUUGGGGAGGCUUGCAGGUAGGGCUGGCGCAUGACAGGGACCACAGAGGGAGGGCUGAGUCUGGGCUGGCCACACAGCCGAGCCAUGGCCUCUGCCAGGCUGGUACUGGGGCCUCCCACACGGGAGGAGCCCGUGGGUGUGUCCAGGGCCAGGCGGCUGCCUGGGUUGGCGCCACGAGAAGCUCCCUGUGUGGGGCCACUUGUCCUUUUCUAGGGAAACCCAGCACUGACACUUCCCUGUUUAGAUGAGGAAUUUGGCCAAGGUCCACCCAAGUCCUGGUUGAAAGCCCACUCUCCCCACUUAGCACCCCAUCCCAGGGGCUGUCCCCACGGUGUCAGACGGUGUCAGCGCUGUGCCUGAGGUCCUGGAGGGUGUGUGGAUCAGCACAAGGCAGAACCCCACUCGGUGGCCCUCUCCCUGUCUCAGGUUUUGGCUUCCUAACGGGGAAAGUAGACAUAAUCAUGGAGUCUGCUUACUUACACACAGAGGUUGGGAGAAGCUCUGAGGGUCGCCCAAGGUCACACCACGCAGUCAUUACAAAUCAUGCCACAGGGGGACUUUCCUGACGUGGAAGUGUGCCUGAAUCUUCCGUGAAAACACAAGAAUACCCUCUACGAGCAGAAGGGAGGCAGUGAGGACUCGGGCAGAGUCAGGGAUGGACCUGUGAGAGAGGUGGGGUUCAGCUGCGAUGGGCUGACCACAAGACAGGAGACCAUCCCUGGGGAUCCAGGGGGGCCAGAUAAAGCCAGAAGUGGAGUUGCCUUGAAGCUGGAAAAGUAGAGAAAACUGUGGGCCCCCAGAGGGACUAGCUCCACGGACACUUGGCCCAUACUGGGCUUGGGAAGUGCAGAGCUGUAACUGAGGAUGCUGUUGGAGACCUUGAAAUCAGGGUGGUUUGUUACCACCGCAAAAGAAGCUCAGGCAGCCGGCGCUCCCCGCGGGCCACCGCAGAGCGCAGGGAGGGGAAGGUGGUGGGCUGGCUCCAGGUUUGCUCUGUGCCAGUGCCUGCCCACUGUCCGCGUCCCUGGUCGACUCAGUGACCCCGGGCAACACAUCAUCCAAGUGCUUCUUGCUGAAGGCCUGUUUGCUUCUCUCCAGUUUUAAUUUGUGUCACAAGUGCAGAGAUGAGCGGCAGCCUGCCAGGUCUGCACCAAGAACCCUGGAGGAGGGUCUCCCCAGAGAACCCACACAGAGCCCUUUUAUGAGGUUCAGGCCUCAACACCUGAUUGGAAGCAACUGCUCCUCCCACCCGACAGGUGAGUAAGCUGCUUGGGGCUCGGGGAUGGCCCAGCUCAGACUCAGGCCCUGCCCACGGGUCUCACGUCUUGCCACACGGUAUCCAACACCUGUAUCAGUUAAAACAUCUCACUUUCAAUCAAUAGAAAUGUUCUUCUUAAAUGUAUUUAUGGAUUUAUUUAUUGCAGUACUGGGAAUUAAACAGAAUGGGCCUUAGAGGAAUUGAAACACAUCAGUUGAGAUGAUUGGCUUAUUUCCUUGAUAGAUCUCACAUCAGACAACUGGGCCUGAAUUGCCGCAGGUUCUGAAAUGGGUCCAGUCCGGUGCAAAGAGAUCAGCCUCACACAAAUAACCCAGUGUGAGACCCAGAGUGCUGUCUGGGACGUUGCCAGCAGGACCUUGCUGGGCUCUAACAGGUAUUUCCUCCUAGAACCUUUUCGCCAGCCAACCCCAUGUGUCCCUGGCUCCUCACCAAAGGAAAAGGAGAAAUGCUUCCUUCCUUCUUCCUCCUGGGGCUUCUUCCCUCUGCCUGGGGCAGACCCACUGCCACUGCACCGGGGCAGAAGCUCCCGCAAGGAUGUCACUGUGCCUGGGAUCUGAGUCGCCAGCCAAUUACAAGGAUGUACUUGCUAUGACUGAGAACCGGCAGGUUGGCAGGAGGGCAGCUCGGCAGGCUGGCAGAGCAGGUUUCUGGCCGGGGACCCAGCCCCAAACCAAGUUUACAAAACAGCUGCUCCGCUGGGGCCCUGUGAUGAGCAAGCCCGUCAGGGUGGACUCCAGGUGGUGCUGAGCUGCGGUCAUCAGAAGGAAUGCCCCAAACAUUAACAAGGCCAGGAAGGCCAGAGAUCUGGUGAGCCUUGGUGACCUCGCAGCCUGUCAUCAGCCCGGCCCAGAAAUGGGCCCCUGUCUUCACUGGCUGCUCAGCCUCGUACCCAUGGGAGAAGAGCCGGCAGCACAACCACACAGCCCUGCUGCACGCCUGGGCAGCCUGCUUGGUCCUGGGAGUAAACCACCAGAUCCCAGAGAAAACCUAAGUUGACAAAGCACAGCUCCAGUCAGAGGCACCCAAAUGACAGUCACAGAAAACGCCCUCUCGCCCGAACUGCCUUUUUACUAACAUGUUGAUUGACACACACUCUUGUCCACCUUUGGAAAGUGGGUGAUGCUUUGAUCUCGUGCACAUGGAGCCACAGUAAGGCAGGGUGAUGGGCGUGCUGUCGCCUCGUGCUGAUGCUCUACGGCAGGACAACGUAGGAAUGUCGUGCUGUUGCUCUAUCUCAUGCCAACGCAGGAACGGCCUCGCCACGUCAGAGCGCUUUCACAGCCGUCACCCAUUCACUUCUCACGGCAUGCCUGAUGGGGGCUGCAUGGCCAGCGCACCCUCAUGGGAGGACACUGAGUCUGGCAGCGAGGCCCCUAUGUGGGGAUCGGCCUGCCAGCCCUGCUCUGCCAGGCUCCCCUUUGUCACCUGCCCCUCCCAGGCAGCCUUCAGGCCCGGCCAGAGGCGUUGAUUGCUACUGCUAGAAGAGGACAUGGCGAUCUACACUUUCAGCAGGCUUCGAGGCACUUGUUACAAUGGACUCGCUGAAGAGCAGAAGCGCUGUGACUAAGGAUUCAGCUGGGACAGCAGCAUGCUGGGGCUGAUGUCCACAGGUGGAGCUGGAAGGUCACCCUGCUGCAGAACACACUUGCAGGAGACCUUCUUCUGGAGGGAUGGCACUGGCCAGUGGGUGAGAACUCGACUCCUGCCUGCACAUCACCGGGGGCUCACAGUCGCCUGCAGAGAGACUCCAAGACUGGAGCCAGGACCAUCCCCCACUCCCUGCCUGGGAUUACUUCCUGGUGCGUGAGUUGCCAGUGACCUGCUAGUUCUUAAGGGUCAAAGUUCACGGCUCUCCUUGUUAUUGCUACCCUAUUUACAAAGAGAAUUUGAAGCAACAGCUUCUUGAGUCAUUUUUACCAUUUUUAGAUGCAAUUCCUCCUGUCUCUCUGAGCGACUGGUCUCUAAUGUCCCUUCUUCCUGUCCCCCUCAGUAGGAAAGACAGGAGUUUUAGCAUUCCACAGGGCACCAAGUUCAUUUCUCAUGCAGCCCAUUGUGGCCACGUCCAAGUUCAGGACAGGAUGAAAGCAGAGUUGGCCUUCGCACUUUCCAGGAGUUCCUAAAGGGAAGAAGCGCUAAUUUUCUUGUUCUUCCUUCCUCUUUACUGGCUAGGACAGGAACCGAAUGACUGGUGCUCUGCAGCUCUUUUGGAACAUGAAGUAGCCUUGGCAACGGAAGUCAAGCAUGGCAAAACACGGCUGAAAAGGAGCCUAGUCCCUGAUGCAGGGGUGUGUCACCGUGGAUGGGGUGCUUCCGGGCUUCCUGACUGUGAGAGGCCAUCUUCUGAUCUUUUUAUGCUGCGUUCAGUUGUAGUCACAGGUGAUUCUAAUAAACACAUCUCGCCUUUUUCCUCCUCUCAGCCGAUACUGAGGAGAAGGAUAGAUCAGGUGGGAGGGGGGUACAGGAAGUACCAGGGCAGUCGGGACAAGAUCCAUCAGCAGCUGUUGCUCAGAAUUUCCUUCCAUCGGCCGCCAUUCAGCUCCUCAGUCUUUCCUGGCGUCUCUCUAUGAAAACUUGAAAUGAAAGCACCUAAGAUCCGAGUGCCCAUUCUCUCACCAGCUCGGAGUCGGGCAGGGCGGUCACUGUCAGCCCCUCAGUGGGUGAGGGAGUGGCCAUUCAGCACGACACAGCUGGUGUGUGAGAAUACCAGACUCCCACUGGGACUCGCUGAAGGGGACGAGACCCCCCAGAGUCCCUGGUGUCACUUCUGUCCUCCAGCGACGGCAGCACCAUGGCUGUGCGUCAACACAGGCGUCCCCUCAGUGGAGAGGCUCAGCGGCACCUCAUUUCUGUGGCGCGGAAGCCACCAGUUCUAAAUUGUGCCCCCCCAGAGCUGCCUCUCUGUGAAGCUGCGGCCCUCCAGCCCUGAGCAAGUGUCCAGAGACAGGUGAGUGGGUAGACAAAAGGCAGUCCACCCGACAACAACCCUAGUGAGGAGGAGAUCCGGACAGACAGGACCACGGAAAUGAGCCCUGAGGACCAGCUCAGUGAUACCAGCCAGCCAGCCACUGAAGGUCACAUCUCGUGUGAUUCCACCUUUAAGGUACCUACUGCAGUCCCCUUAGCUGCAGUUUCACUUCCUACAACCUCAGUUACCUACAGUCAACUACAGGCCACAAAUAUGAAACGAAAAACCCCAGAAAUGCACAAUUCAUGUUUUACAUUGUGCCCACCUCUUCUGCACAGCAUGGCAGGCUGCCCAACUCAAGCCAUCCAGGACGUGAAUCAUCCCUUUCACCCGAGCAUCCAUGGUGCAUACCCUACCCACUUGGUAAACACUUAGCAGCUGUCUCAGUUAUCAGGUUGAGUGGCAGUAUCAUAAUGCUGUGUUCAAGUGACCCUUAUCCUGCUUAGUAAUGACCCCAAAGUGCAGGAGUCCUGAUACAGCAAUUUAGGUAUGCCGCAGAGAAUCAAUAGUACCAGUACCUCCUUUAGGUAAAAAAGAUGAAAGUUUAUCAUAGGUAUGUAUGUAUCCAAAGAAACACAAUAUACGUAAGGUUGGUAGUCGAGGUUGUGGGCAUCCACUGGGUCUUGCAAGACAGCCCUGAGGACAUGAGGUGGUACAUUCAAUUCAAAUUAUAGAGAAUGGUAGUAGCAGGAGUGGGAGGGAGGGGGAGAUGGGGAAUUAGUAUAUUGAGGACAGAGUUCAGUUUGAAAAUGAAGUUCUAGACAUACUUUCAGCACCCUGUGAAUAUACUUAACUACCCACCAAAAGGGGGACAAGAUGGUAAAUUUUACAUGAUGUGUAUUUUGCCGCAGAUUAAAAAAAAAAUAAAAACUGGACUGGUCUCUG
This 8270-nucleotide long non-coding RNA is filed under the name Marmota monax (woodchuck). Lineage: Eukaryota; Metazoa; Chordata; Mammalia; Rodentia; Sciuridae. The record is from RNAcentral.